GUGCUGUUGGAGACAGCCUAAGGCGCUAUUCCGCUCGAACGCUCCAGUCCUUCAGCGCUUCUGCCGGCGCACCGCGCCGCUAGCGCGCUCCGCGCUGCACUGCAGGCCUGCAGGCUGCAGCAGCUCGGCCGCUCGGCGAGCCGCCUGCUGGGUGCUGGGCCGCUGGCUGCUCGCCUGCAAGCUGCAGCAGCUCAGCUGCUCGGGCCUCAGGCGUUCGACGAGCUCACGAGCCGCUGCUGGGCGCUGGGCCGCUGGCUGCUCGCCUGCCCGGCUGCCUCUGCUGUGCUGCCUGCUCCCGUGCUCUGCUGUCCGCUGCUCGCAGCUCACCUGCCUGCUGCCUCUGGUGCGUGCUGCCUGCUUCGCUGUCCGCUGCUGGCUCCGUCGCAGCGUCCCGGCCAAGAAGCCUAAUCGUAUCCAAGAAGAUCUUCUGCAACAACAGUGUUUUUAAUCACAAGCUAGUUGGCGGGUAGGCUAGAUGAAACCUAACAUGAGCCACCAACAAAGAGAUGUUCUGCACCAAACAGGGCUAAGGAACAGAUCUGAGUGCCUUUCAGCAUUUGCAUGCAAGCAAGCAGCUGUGAAUAACUUCCUAAUUCAUUACUUUAUUUCAUCCAAGCAAAACAUAUCUUGUCAAAUAGAAUUUUUACUUAAUUUCUCUAAGUUUUAAAAGGAACAUGCCACUCCGUCUGGCAAAAGAACUGGCAAUCAACGUGCAUGAACUGUGAUCUUUGUCUGUUUUCUGUUUACCCUUAACUCUACCUUCUGUCUUA
Zea mays is the source of this 770-nucleotide long non-coding RNA. RefSeq lists it as uncharacterized. Lineage: Eukaryota; Viridiplantae; Streptophyta; Magnoliopsida; Poales; Poaceae. The transcript is spliced from 2 exons. The record is from RefSeq and is a predicted model, not a curated record.